This 40-nucleotide ribosomal RNA is filed under the name Bjerkandera adusta. RNAcentral describes it as "partial 28S ribosomal RNA". The record is from RNAcentral. Lineage: Eukaryota; Fungi; Basidiomycota; Agaricomycetes; Polyporales; Phanerochaetaceae.
CUCUGAGCUCAAAUCAGGUAGGACUACCCGCUGAACUUAA